This 379-nucleotide ribosomal RNA is filed under the name Schizophyllum sp. BAB-4013. RNAcentral describes it as "eukaryotic LSU rRNA". The stretch from base 1 to 92 matches the Rfam family "5.8S ribosomal RNA", at positions 63 to 154 of the family's 154-position model. Lineage: Eukaryota; Fungi; Basidiomycota; Agaricomycetes; Agaricales; Schizophyllaceae. The record is from RNAcentral.
UGGUGUGAAUUGCAGAAUUCAGUGAAUCAUCGAAUCUUUGAACGCACCUUGCGCCCUUUGGUAUUCCGAGGGGCAUGCCUGUUUGAGUGUCAUUAAAUACCAUCAACCCUCUUUUGACUUCGGUCUCGAGAGUGGCUUGGAAGUGGAGGUCUGCUGGAGCCUAACGGAGCCAGCUCCUCUUAAAUGUAUUAGCGGAUUUCCCUUGCGGGAUCGCGUCUCCGAUGUGAUAAUUUCUACGUCGUUGACCAUCUCGGGGCUGACCUAGUCAGUUUCAAUAGGAGUCUGCUUCUAACCGUCUCUUGACUGAGACUAGCGACUUGUGCGCUAACUUUUGACUUGACCUCAAAUCAGGUAGGACUACCCGCUGAACUUAAGCAUA